AGAGUUUGAUCAUGGCUCAGAUUGAACGCUGGCGGCAGGCCUAACACAUGCAAGUCGAACGGUAACAGGAAGAAGCUUGCUUCUUUGCUGACGAGUGGCGGACGGGUGAGUAAUGUCUGGGAAACUGCCUGAUGGAGGGGGAUAACUACUGGAAACGGUAGCUAAUACCGCAUAACGUCGCAAGACCAAAGAGGGGGACCUUCGGGCCUCUUGCCAUCGGAUGUGCCCAGAUGGGAUUAGCUAGUAGGUGGGGUAACGGCUCACCUAGGCGACGAUCCCUAGCUGGUCUGAGAGGAUGACCAGCCACACUGGAACUGAGACACGGUCCAGACUCCUACGGGAGGCAGCAGUGGGGAAUAUUGCACAAUGGGCGCAAGCCUGAUGCAGCCAUGCCGCGUGUAUGAAGAAGGCCUUCGGGUUGUAAAGUACUUUCAGCGGGGAGGAAGGGAGUAAAGUUAAUACCUUUGCUCAUUGACGUUACCCGCAGAAGAAGCACCGGCUAACUCCGUGCCAGCAGCCGCGGUAAUACGGAGGGUGCAAGCGUUAAUCGGAAUUACUGGGCGUAAAGCGCACGCAGGCGGUUUGUUAAGUCAGAUGUGAAAUCCCCGGGCUCAACCUGGGAACUGCAUCUGAUACUGGCAAGCUUGAGUCUCGUAGAGGGGGGUAGAAUUCCAGGUGUAGCGGUGAAAUGCGUAGAGAUCUGGAGGAAUACCGGUGGCGAAGGCGGCCCCCUGGACGAAGACUGACGCUCAGGUGCGAAAGCGUGGGGAGCAAACAGGAUUAGAUACCCUGGUAGUCCACGCCGUAAACGAUGUCGACUUGGAGGUUGUGCCCUUGAGGCGUGGCUUCCGGAGCUAACGCGUUAAGUCGACCGCCUGGGGAGUACGGCCGCAAGGUUAAAACUCAAAUGAAUUGACGGGGGCCCGCACAAGCGGUGGAGCAUGUGGUUUAAUUCGAUGCAACGCGAAGAACCUUACCUGGUCUUGACAUCCACGGAAGUUUUCAGAGAUGAGAAUGUGCCUUCGGGAACCGUGAGACAGGUGCUGCAUGGCUGUCGUCAGCUCGUGUUGUGAAAUGUUGGGUUAAGUCCCGCAACGAGCGCAACCCUUAUCCUUUGUUGCCAGCGGUCCGGCCGGGAACUCAAAGGAGACUGCCAGUGAUAAACUGGAGGAAGGUGGGGAUGACGCCAAGUCAUCAUGGCCCUUACGACCAGGGCUACACACGUGCUACAAUGGCGCAUACAAAGAGAAGCGACCUCGCGAGAGCAAGCGGACCUCAUAAAGUGCGUCGUAGUCCGGAUUGGAGUCUGCAACUCGACUCCAUGACGUCGGAAUCGCUAGUAAUCGUGGAUCAGAAUGCCACGGUGAAUACGUUCCCGGGCCUUGUACACACCGCCCGUCACACCAUGGGAGUGGGUUGCAAAAGAAGUAGGUAGCUUAACCUUCGGGAGGGCGCUUACCACUUUGUGAUUCAUGACUGGGGUGAAGUCGUAACAAGGUAACCGUAGGGGAACCUGCGGUUG
RNAcentral lists this ribosomal RNA (1522 nucleotides) under metagenome. RNAcentral describes it as "bacterial SSU rRNA". It matches the Rfam family "Bacterial small subunit ribosomal RNA". The record is from RNAcentral.